AGUGAAUGCUGGCGGUAGGCCUAACACAUGCAAGUCGAACGGCAGCACAGGAGAGCUUGCUCUCUGGGUGGCGAGUGGCGGACGGGUGAGGAAUACAUCGGAAUCUACUCUGUCGUGGGGGAUAACGUAGGGAAACUUACGCUAAUACCGCAUACGACCUACGGGUGAAAGCAGGGGAUCUUCGGACCUUGCGCGAUUGACUGAGCCGAUGUCGGAUUAGCUAGUUGGCGGGGUAAAGGCCCACCAAGGCGACGAUCCGUAGCUGGUCUGAGAGGAUGAUCAGCCACACUGGAACUGAGACACGGUCCAGACUCCUACGGGAGGCAGCAGUGGGGAAUAUUGGACAAUGGGCGCAAGCCUGAUCCAGCCAUACCGCGUGGGUGAAGAAGGCCUUCGGGAUGUAAAGCCCUUUUGUUGGGAAAGAAAUCCAGCUGGCUAAUACCCGGUUGGGAUGACGGUACCCAAAGAAUAAGCACCGGCUAACUUCGUGCCAGCCGCCGCCUAA
RNAcentral lists this ribosomal RNA (505 nucleotides) under uncultured bacterium. RNAcentral describes it as "partial 16S ribosomal RNA". It matches the Rfam family "Bacterial small subunit ribosomal RNA", at positions 29 to 522 of the family's 1533-position model. The record is from RNAcentral.